RNAcentral lists this ribosomal RNA (873 nucleotides) under Streptomyces sp. SID69. Its description in RNAcentral is "partial 23S ribosomal RNA". It matches the Rfam family "Bacterial large subunit ribosomal RNA", at positions 2058 to 2925 of the family's 2925-position model. The record is from RNAcentral. Lineage: Bacteria; Bacillati; Actinomycetota; Actinomycetes; Kitasatosporales; Streptomycetaceae.
GAUGCUCGUUUCGCGCAGCAGGACGGAAAGACCCCGGGACCUUUACUACAGUUUGAUAUUGGUGUUCGGUUCGGCUUGUGUAGGAUAGCUGGGAGACUUUGAAGCUCAUACGCCAGUGUGGGUGGAGUCGUCGUUGAAAUACCAGUCUGGUCGUGCUGGAUGUCUAACCUGGGUCCGUGAUCCGGAUCAGGGACAGUGUCUGAUGGGUAGUUUAACUGGGGCGGUUGCCUCCUAAAGAGUAACGGAGGCGCCCAAAGGUUCCCUCAGCCUGGUUGGUAAUCAGGUGUUGAGUGUAAGUGCACAAGGGAGCUUGACUGUGAGACCGACGGGUCGAGCAGGGACGAAAGUCGGGACUAGUGAUCCGGCGGUGGCUUGUGGAAGCGCCGUCGCUCAACGGAUAAAAGGUACCCCGGGGAUAACAGGCUGAUCUUCCCCAAGAGUCCAUAUCGACGGGAUGGUUUGGCACCUCGAUGUCGGCUCGUCGCAUCCUGGGGCUGGAGUCGGUCCCAAGGGUUGGGCUGUUCGCCCAUUAAAGCGGUACGCGAGCUGGGUUUAGAACGUCGUGAGACAGUUCGGUCCCUAUCCGCUGUGCGCGUAGGAGUCUUGAGAAGGGCUGUCCCUAGUACGAGAGGACCGGGACGGACGAACCUCUGGUGUGCCAGUUGUCCUGCCAAGGGCAUGGCUGGUUGGCUACGUUCGGGAGGGAUAACCGCUGAAAGCAUCUAAGCGGGAAGCCUGCUUCGAGAUGAGGACUCCCACCCACUUGAUGGGGUAAGGCUCCCAGUAGACGACUGGGUUGAUAGGCCGGAUCUGGAAGCCAGGUAACUGGUGGAGGUGACCGGUACUAAUAGGCCGAGGGCUUGUCCUCAGUUG